UACGGAGGGUGCAAGCGUUAUCCGGAUUCACUGGGUUUAUAGGGUGCGUAGGCGGCUUUGUAAGUCAGUGGUGAAAGCCCGCAGCUUAACUGCGGAACUGCCAUUGAAACUGCUUAGCUUGAGUAUGAUUGAAGUGGGCGGAAUAUAUCAUGUAGCGGUGAAAUGCUUAGAUAUGAUAUAGAACACCGAUUGCGAAGGCAGCUCACUAAAUCACAACUGACGCUGAGGCACGAAAGCGUGGGUAGCAAACAGG
This 253-nucleotide ribosomal RNA is filed under the name uncultured bacterium. Its description in RNAcentral is "partial 16S ribosomal RNA". It matches the Rfam family "Bacterial small subunit ribosomal RNA", at positions 524 to 776 of the family's 1533-position model. The record is from RNAcentral.